UACGUAGGGUGCAAGCGUUAAUCGGAAUUACUGGGCGUAAAGAGUUGCGUAGGCGGCUAAGUAAGCAAGGUGUGAAAGCGUGUGGCUCAACCAUACAUCCAUGCCUUGAACUGCUUAGCUAGAGAAUGGAAGAGGUGGCUGGAAUUCCUAGUGUAGGAGUGAAAUCCGUAGAUAUUAGGAGGAACACCGAUGGCGUAGGCAGGCCACUGGUCCAUUUCUGACGCUCAGGCACGAAAGCGUGGGGAGCGAACGGG
RNAcentral lists this ribosomal RNA (254 nucleotides) under uncultured bacterium. RNAcentral's name for it is "partial 16S ribosomal RNA". It matches the Rfam family "Bacterial small subunit ribosomal RNA", at positions 524 to 776 of the family's 1533-position model. The record is from RNAcentral.